GACGAACGCUGGCGGCGUGCCUAAUACAUGCAAGUCGAGCGGAUCGAUGGGAGCUUGCUCCCUGAGAUCAGCGGCGGACGGGUGAGUAACACGUGGGUAACCUGCCUGUAAGACUGGGAUAACUCCGGGAAACCGGGGCUAAUACCGGAUAACACCUACCCCCGCAUGGGGGAAGGUUGAAAGGUGGCUUCGGCUAUCACUUACAGAUGGACCCGCGGCGCAUUAGCUAGUUGGUGAGGUAACGGCUCACCAAGGCGACGAUGCGUAGCCGACCUGAGAGGGUGAUCAGCCACACUGGGACUGAGACACGGCCCAGACUCCUACGGGAGGCAGCAGUAGGGAAUCUUCCGCAAUGGACGAAAGUCUGACGGAGCAACGCCGCGUGAGUGAAGAAGGUUUUCGGAUCGUAAAACUCUGUUGUUAGGGAAGAACAAGUACCGUUCGAAUAGGGCGGUACCUUGACGGUACCUAACCAGAAAGCCACGGCUAACUACGUGCCAGCCGCCGCAGUAA
RNAcentral lists this ribosomal RNA (513 nucleotides) under uncultured bacterium. Its description in RNAcentral is "partial 16S ribosomal RNA". It matches the Rfam family "Bacterial small subunit ribosomal RNA", at positions 28 to 523 of the family's 1533-position model. The record is from RNAcentral.